AGUUUGUGAUGAGUGUGUAUUGACUGUUGAACAUGAAUUACCACCCUCAUUUUAAGGCAGAAGAGGAAGAAGUUAUAAACCUCUGAACCUCUGGUUGCUGAGUUCUGAGCAGAAUCAGAAGCUCCUGCUCUUCCCACGGUGCUGAGGAACUUGCCACCGCACACCUGGCAUCGGAGCUACAUCUUGGGGUGAAAAAUACUCCCAGAAUCCACAUACCACAUCAGAGGGACUUGGAACUACCCUGCCUGUGUGGUUUGUUACCCACUAACUGUUAACAUUGAUUAGAACACGGGAAUUGGACUUUCUCCAAUUGUCACCCCCAGGAUUCUCACAAGCCGGAUGUAUACUAAGUAAAAUGACCUUCUUAAUUAGGGGAAAACUAUCCAAGUAGGUGGCAGAGGGAAGCACACAACCAAAGUGGCAUCCAAUCUGAUACAGCAGAUGAAAAUUCCCCUUUGUCAUCUGAGAAUUGUUAUCUGCUUUCCCAAGACAUUAUUUCUACAAACUCUGAACCUGAAAAUCCACUGAAACAAAAGCAAGUGAAUAACGGAGACUUAAUCUCGUAAGAGAAGGGAAAUGAAAAACU
Molecule: long non-coding RNA, 586 nt
Organism: Globicephala melas (long-finned pilot whale)
Lineage: Eukaryota; Metazoa; Chordata; Mammalia; Artiodactyla; Delphinidae
Source: RefSeq, a predicted model, not a curated record